RNAcentral lists this transfer RNA (69 nucleotides) under Boana albomarginata (white-banded tree frog). RNAcentral's name for it is "tRNA-Val". It matches the Rfam family "tRNA". From Rfam's summary of the family: Transfer RNA (tRNA) molecules are approximately 80 nucleotides in length. Their secondary structure includes four short double-helical elements and three loops (D, anti-codon, and T loops). Lineage: Eukaryota; Metazoa; Chordata; Amphibia; Anura; Hylidae. The record is from RNAcentral.
CAAAAUGUAGCUUAAAUAAAGCAUCUCGCUUACACCGAGAAGAUGUCCGAUAAACCCGAGCCAUUUUGA